CCCCAUAGUGCUGCAGCAGCUGCUCCACGUACUCGAUCCAGACGCAGUUGUGGCAGCCGCUCAUGCAGCAGUUGGUGGGCGGCGGGAGCUCAGGGGGGUGUGGAUAGGGGGACUCAGCCCCCCGCGUGGUUUCCCCCUCACCCCGAGGGGUUCCCGUCUGGCAGUCGCUUCUCGGGGUGUCCGAACGCCUCCGACGGCUGCAGAUGGCGCUGGGAUGGGGGGCUCUGCGCUGCUGUUCCUCCCGGCCCCUCCCCGCCAGGCCCCGCGCUCCGCGUGCCGCCCG
This 283-nucleotide long non-coding RNA is filed under the name Gallus gallus (chicken). The record is from RNAcentral. Lineage: Eukaryota; Metazoa; Chordata; Aves; Galliformes; Phasianidae.